UGCGUAGGCGGAAUAGUCAGUCAGUGGUGAAAUCCUACAGCUUAACUGUAGAACUGCCAUUGAUACUUCUAUUCUUGAGUUCAGUUGAGGUAGGCGGAAUGUGUAGUGUAGCGGUGAAAUGCUUAGAUAUUACACAGAACACCGAUUGCGAAGGCAGCUUACUAAACUGACACUGACGCUGAGGCACGAAAGCGUGGGGAGCGAACAGGAUUAGAUACCCUGGUAGUC
RNAcentral lists this ribosomal RNA (228 nucleotides) under uncultured bacterium. RNAcentral describes it as "partial 16S ribosomal RNA". It matches the Rfam family "Bacterial small subunit ribosomal RNA", at positions 568 to 795 of the family's 1533-position model. The record is from RNAcentral.